UGAUGGCAAAUGAGAGCCGAACCGAUAGGACAUGGGGUUCUCAUAGACAUGAUACGUUUCCUUCAUACCAGUCUCAGAAUGGUCCAAUCCGUUCAAACUCCUCACAGAGUAGUUCUGCCAAUCUGGUGGCAUGUAUCCACUACAGUCCAUGAAUCCUGGAGUUUCAACAAAUGGACCUACAUUUCCACCUGUUGUCAUGCUAUAUCCUUAUGAUCAUAGUGCUGGAUUUGGAUCUCCUGCAGAACAGCUCGAGUUUGGAUCUCUUGGGCCAGUUGGUUACUC
This 282-nucleotide unclassified non-coding RNA is filed under the name Hevea brasiliensis (rubber tree). The record is from RNAcentral. Lineage: Eukaryota; Viridiplantae; Streptophyta; Magnoliopsida; Malpighiales; Euphorbiaceae.